RNAcentral lists this ribosomal RNA (121 nucleotides) under Pteropus alecto (black flying fox). The record is from RNAcentral. Lineage: Eukaryota; Metazoa; Chordata; Mammalia; Chiroptera; Pteropodidae.
GUCUACAGCCAUGCUACCCUGAACAAGCCCGAUCCCAUCUGAUCUCGGAAGCUAAGCAGGGUCGGGCCUGGUUAGUGCUUGGAUGGGAGACCACCUAGGAAGACCAGGGGGAUUGUAAGCU